Sapajus apella (tufted capuchin) is the source of this 5895-nucleotide long non-coding RNA. RefSeq lists it as uncharacterized. Lineage: Eukaryota; Metazoa; Chordata; Mammalia; Primates; Cebidae. The transcript has 2 exons. The record is from RefSeq and is a predicted model, not a curated record.
GCUGAAAGGAAUGGAGACAGAAACAGAAAUCACCAGUCAGUCUGCGCGUGGGUAGGGCUGAAGCUCAAGACAUUUUACCAGUGUCACUGGCACACAGUCUGAGAUGUCAAGGCUUGAAGACUUCUCUCAAAACCAAUGUUUACAACAGAAGUAUCCCAUCAAGCUCAGGGCUGGACAGCCUGUAUUCUAAUGAGGACUCAGUCCUGGGUCAGCUCCCAUACUCCUCCUUCCAGCCAAUAUACUUCCAGCACCUUCCUGCCCAAUGUGCCACACCUGCUAGUUCACAUUUUCUCAGCCAAGCACUCCCACCUACCAUUCACGCUACCCAAUUACAAUUAGUCUGGAGGCCCCAAAGCUAGCUGUUUCUAGCUGGGGCCCAUUUGCACCAAAGGCCUUUACCAAAGCAUCACAGAAAAAGUAUGGCCAUGAGGCCCAGAGAAGUUACCUGGAGGAGACAGGCAACAGGAGAAGGGAGAAAAGAACAAAGGCAAGAAAGCUAGUAAGGGCCCAAGGCCACAUGAAGAAGCAAAACAGGCUUCACAUGUGUUCCUCCUCUCUGACCUCUGUUGCAGCAGCUGACUGGAUGCUUUGGGAGGGUAGAGAGAAGAGGUGAAUGGGAAAGUAUGGAGGAAGGGCCUGGGAAGAAAUAAGAAUCCAUUCAGGGAAAACUGCUCCAGUGCCUUGGCCCAGCUGAUCUGCUUCAACAAGUCUAUUGAACAGUGUAACCAUCUAGGCAUACGAUUCUGGAGACUACUGGAGAAAUGACCACCUUCUCUUCCUGCCUGUUUGAAUGAUACACAGGAGGGCCAAUAGAACUGUAGAUGGUUGAGAAGCCACCACAGGAAAAGGAGAAAAGCCAUGUCACAAACGGAAUAGCCCAAGGUACUGACACCAAUUUCUAACACAUCACAACCUACUCGAAGCACCACUGUCUAUGGAUAGCAAGGGUCUCUGACCAUGUCACCAGGCCCUCAUGGACUAGGCCCCAUCCUUUAUCAUACUCACCCCUAAUCUACCACCACUCCCUGCAACACCUUCACUGACCCUAGAGCCUAAUACCCUCCCCUGACCCAUAGCUAUCUCCUGGUUUAAGUCUUCAGUUCCAAGGUAAUGGAAGAGGGUGUUGCUACGGAUGGUACUCCAAGCUUCAGGUAUGUUGAGACUAGCAAGACAGCAGGGAAAGACACCAUGAGGGGUGGGGUGCAGAGUGUGCUGGAUGAUGGAAGCUGAGAAAAGAAAAGAGGAUCCCACAGGCAACACCUCUGUAUUCACCACAUCCAAGAAACUAGAUGGUAUAUACAUCUCUUCAGAGGACACCAAAAUGCAAAAUCAAAACAGUCCUAAAGCCCUUCAGUAUUUCAUCUGGACCACUCUGCCAGAAAGCUGGAGAAGGAGUUCCAUAACAUAACCCUGAGAAAAAAACACUCUGAAGCCCAGAUCUGGGGGAAGACUGCUGAUUUCUGGCUAUCGAGGCACCGUGUUCACUAUCAAAACCCUCAUAUUUCAGAUGAAAAGAACAAGACUGCUUCAAGUUGCCAAUCCGAUAAAUCUCCAUUAAUAUGGGAUAGCCAAGGAGGAAGAUUCCUUCAGCAUCACAUCAUCCAGUGUCCUCAGUGCACAUAAGACACCAGAGAAGAUAUGUGUGACUCCAAAAAGCUUAGUAAAAACUUGAUUAAAUUGGCACAAACGAGACAGAGUAGAUUAUGCGUUCUAAACUUGGGACAUGGCUCUGUCUCCACUAGGCAAUGGGCCUUCUAAGUUUUAGGUUUGGGGCCAGAGCGAAAAGAUCAGUGGGGCAAGGAAGGAAUAUCUAGAGAUUUCCUCAUCUCCAUGGCUUCAGGCUUUUAGGAGAAAGAUUCAGGUCAGAAAGCCUUAAACUGUGUACCUUCAACUGAUGGUCUAUGUAAGAGGUUCAAAUUUUAAGAGAUUUCACGAAUCUCUACUAUUUACCAAGCCCUGCCCUAGCCAUGCUACAGUAGCUCAACACACUCACAAUUCUGUGACCUCCUUGUUCCCCCAAGACUUACUCAUACAACUCUGGAAUCACACAGGCCCUGUGGAAUUAUGGUAACACACAUCAGACGUGUGACCCUGGGCCUGUCAGUUGAACUCCUGGAACCUCAGCUUUCCACAACAGAUGGUUACAAGAAUUAAAUGAAAUACCAUAUUCAUAGAAAAAGCUUACCAUUGGGCCUGACCUAUAAUAGAUGCUUAAUAAAUACAAGUUCAUUCCUUCCCUCCCAUUCCAGAUCCAGUGCUCUUGAGAACAAUGUUACAGUCAGAUGAUGAACUGGGGCAGUCUGGCUGCCCUGAAUAAGAGCAUAUCUUUCUAGCUUGAGUCCACGCUAAGUGGUCAGAACCUGAGUAACACUAAACAUAUACCUGUUGACUGACUGGCUCAUAUUGGGUGUUGUGGAAGGACAUAGCACUGGGAGCCCGGAGGCCUGGGUGGGAGCUCUAGCUCCUACCCUAGCUUGUUGAAUGGUCUUGACCUCUCUGGGCCUCAGUUUUCUCAUCUGUAAAACAAGGGGAAUAAAUCAGACAUUCUGAUUCUACUUUUUUCACAUUACUGUGAUGUGUCAAACCUUCCCAAGCCCCUCUGCCAAGGUCCUGGGCUACAGGGAUAACUAAGUGCUUCGCUAGUUUCUGUAGUUUUUUUCCUGGCUAUGUGUAGCUGUUUUUCUGUGACAUGACUUGUCAACACAUAUAAGCAACAACAACUUAUUCUUAAUUGAGUAAGAAACAGGGACCAGGAAUGCAGUAGGCUCAUGUUUGGUAAGAUACCACACAAAAUGUAAAAUGUGGAGCUAAUUCAACCAGAAACUAGGACUGCUGUGGGAAGCAGGAGCGCUGCUUUAACCCCAGGUAACAGGAACACAUUUUGAAGGCAAGGUGGCUUUUGGAGCGGUUCUCCUUUGGUGAACGGGAAGUAAUCAAUUCAGGCCAUCGUCGGGGGAAUUGGCUGACUUGUGUCUAAUCCUUGCAGGACCCUGGAGGUGAAGGUCCAAUUUAGCAAAGAUGGCUGGAUCCAGAGAAGAUGUGAGGACAGAGAAGGAGAAACAAGAGAGGUUCUUGGGGUCAAGAAUAAUGGUACUGACCAGGCUGCUUUCCUGCCUCUUCCAAACUGGAAUUCCCAUCUCGAUCUGGAACAGCUGCUGGAAGGAACAUGCUGCUGGGCAUCACCAUCUCAGGAGUGGUCACCUGAGGAGCAAGAGCAAGGACAGUCAAAUGGAGAGGAAAGAGACACAAAAUAGGAAAUGUUUAAAAAUUAUUUAAUAAGCAAAAUUACCCUUCACCAGUAUAAAGCUAGAGGUGUCACUUUUCAUAGCUCACUGAAGAUUCAUGUUUAUUAGACAAAGCUCACAUCAGUCAAAAGUGUUUCUACGGUUACAUUCUGGACAUAAUUAGCAGUGCACACUUGAAGAAUAAUCUUAUUAUUAAUAUUUUUCCUUUAUGCGGAAUUUUGACUUUGAUCACUGACAAUGUUUUGUCAUGGGCUGUGAAACUUCUUGUGCAACCAAUUAGGUAGAUAAGUUGAAAGGCCCACCUUAAGCUGCUGAAAACAUAAUAAGGGCCCUAAUUAAAUCAUACCUAGUAAAGUACACUGUAAUCUUGAAGCAGAGAGCAUUGUAGUACUGUUUUCAAAAUGUAUUCAGGCAAGAAGAGGAGGGAGUAAGAGUGAAGGAAAGGGUAAGAAGAAAAGAAGAGAACAAAGGGAAGGCUAAGGACACGCAGACAUGCUAGCAGAUUUUCCAGGAAACAACAUUUGUAACCCUUUACAAGCUGAUAUCAAGCACAAGCAAGCCAUUUUUUUGUGACUCACUUAAGCCCACGAUUUCUUCUGGACUCUCUGCCCAAGGUACACAACAUCAGAGGGAACCUCUGGCCAAUGUCCCAGCCAUAGAGGGUGGCCUGCACAGCAUUCUAUAACAGGGUAGCCACACCUUGACCAUGGCCAUUGUUUCUAAACAUAGUAAUUCUGGAAAUUGCCUGGAUGCAAAUAGCUGCAAUUUUAUGGCAGAUCCUCAGAUAUUUCUCUAGGCCUCCCAGCCAUACAGCCAGAAGCCUGUCCAGACAAGUUAUCAUUUGCCCUAUGUUAAUGUGAUCAACAGUCUUCGAUACCAAUGGAAGGAUCAAAUGUUCUUCAUUCAAACAGAAGCAACAUCCUUUUGCCUGAUACGGGGUGGGAAGGGUAGGUGGCGAUAUUUCAAAUGAAUCAGAAACCACCUCCCAUUUGAUGACAGCUGGAGAAAUGGACUGACGCAGAAGUUACAGGACCAGAAACUACAAUCACCACUAACCUUUCUACAUGGCUCCCAGCCCCACUUGGAGACAUUUUUCCAUCAAACACAACCAUACUGCACAGCCAUCUUCACUAUCUGUUGCAAAGACUGGAAUACUUAGAUUUCUCUUCAAAAUUAAUGUUUUAAAUACAUUACUAUUAAUUUUUAAUGGUGUGAAAAUCCUAGCCUUGCCCAAAAUAGCUACUGACAUGUCCAUUAGAAUAUCAGCGAUAGGCUUGAUGACUAGAGGAAACCCAGACAGCCACCCUCAUCAACAUAAGAUAACUCCCCAUCACAUUUAGGGGUAUUAAAAUUAUUUUAGCAACCCAGAUGCCAACGGGUGCAAAAAGUAAGCCACAGGCUCUAUGGAGAACCACUCUGAGAAACACUAUGUUUAUGAAGAGCAGGUGUGUGGCAGGUGAAUGUGUGUGACAUCUCAUUCUUGCCCCCACAGACAUCUGCGCCACACACAAAGCUCAUCGGCAGCUGGUUAAAGCUAGCUGUUGAUGAAUCGUUAGGAAGGGAGUGGAGAUUGCCAAACUCAUUCCAUCUAUUUUCUUUUUAAUAGAAGGUAUUUCUGACCAGUGUGGUUGGGGAGUCCAGCGGGAAUCCAAGAAGUGAAAGGUCACCGAUUAAUUUAUAGUCUUCAGCCGAGGGGGAGCACGAGGUUGGGGGUAAGAGGGGGAGAAAGGGAAAGGAAAAAAGACUCCCCCCAACCUCCUUUCUCGGUUGUAGCUGCAGGAUCAGUCUUUUCCCGGGAUCUUUAGGAAUUAUGAAAAAUGAAUCAUGAGAAAUAAAAAAAAAGCCCUACAGAGUAAAAAAGAAUAAAAUUAUCUAACACCUCAGCUGCACAUCAUUAUAGAAAACUGUGGGCUUUUCAUACGCAUUACAGUAAGGCAGACAUCCCCUCUAACAGACUCAGUACGACGGAUCAGUAAUUGUUUUCAUACACUUUAAUUAGAAAAACUCAGAUGGCUAUGAAUAAUAAUGGAAAAGAGAGACUUUUGCACUUGAAAGGUUGAAGUCAAUCAAGUGUGAAUGACGGCAAAAAAGAAAAAAAAAAAAAAAGACACCAAUUCAUCAGUCCUCUGUUGUCUCGCUGAGACUUUAAUCAUAAUUCCUGAUUGGGAUUCAAGAAGGCAGUAAGCAGCGGUUCUUUGUCUGCCUUCACCUUCCAUCAAUUAAGUCUCCCCGAAAUAUAAUCAUCAACCUCACAUCCUCCUCUGCAUCUUAAUCUGGGCCUCCAAACCUGUAAGCCAUGCCCCAUAUGUGUUUAAGUAACUACUUUUAUCCACCUGCAUCUUCUCAUCUAUAGUGUACCCCACCUCUCCCUGGAAAAAAAAAAAAAAAAGGCGGCAGGUUGGUAUAUGAAAUUUUCAUGGGCAAGAAAUUCCCAGGAGGCAAAGAGGAAGAUCCCUAAAGAGAAUCCUGAGGAUCUAGAAAUUCAAGUGGGGUCUAUCUGCACAUGUGUCUGAACAGAGGUUAAGAAUGGAAGCUACUGGAGGGCCUGAUGUCAGCAAUCAGACACUAAUUCCCGUGCCUUUGCCCAUUCUUCCAUCUCCUACCAGCUUCCAAAGCUUUUCACUCAAAGCUUUCAUGCUUUAUCUUAAAA